CGAGAAUUUUUCACAAUGGGGGAAACCCUGAUGGAGCGACGCCGCGUGGAGGAUGAAGGCCCUUGGGUCGUAAACUCCUGUCAUAAGAGAACAAGAAAGUGAUAGUAUCUUAAGAGGAAGAGACGGCUAACUCUGUGCCAGCAGCCGCGGUAAUACAGAGGUCUCAAGCGUUGUUCGGAUUCAUUGGGCGUAAAGGGUGCGCAGGCGGUGUGGUAAGUCGGGUGUGAAAUUUAGGGGCUCAACCUCUAAACUGCACCUGAUACUGCCAUGCUAGAGGACUGUAGAGGAGAUUGGAAUUCACGGUGUAGCAGUGAAAUGCGUAGAUAUCGUGAGGAAGACCAGUGGCGAAAGCGAAUCUCUGGGCAGUUCCUGACGCUCAUGCACGAAGGCUAGGGGAGCAAACGGGA
RNAcentral lists this ribosomal RNA (407 nucleotides) under uncultured Chthoniobacterales bacterium. RNAcentral describes it as "bacterial SSU rRNA". It matches the Rfam family "Bacterial small subunit ribosomal RNA", at positions 356 to 777 of the family's 1533-position model. Lineage: Bacteria; Pseudomonadati; Verrucomicrobiota; Spartobacteria; Chthoniobacterales. The record is from RNAcentral.